This 492-nucleotide ribosomal RNA is filed under the name uncultured bacterium. RNAcentral describes it as "partial 16S ribosomal RNA". It matches the Rfam family "Bacterial small subunit ribosomal RNA", at positions 29 to 507 of the family's 1533-position model. The record is from RNAcentral.
AGUGAACGCUGGCGGUAGGCCUAACACAUGCAAGUCGAACGGCAGCACAGUAAGAGCUUGCUCUUACGGGUGGCGAGUGGCGGACGGGUGAGGAAUACAUCGGAAUCUACUUUUUCGUGGGGGAUAACGUAGGGAAACUUACGCUAAUACCGCAUACGACCUACGGGUGAAAGCAUGGGAUCUUCGGACCUUGCGCGAUUGAAUGAGCCGAUGUCGGAUUAGCUAGUUGGCGGGGUAAAGGCCCACCAAUGCGACGAUCCGUAGCUGGUCUGAGAGGAUGAUCAGCCACACUGGAACUGAGACACGGUCCAGACUCCUACGGGAGGCAGCAGUGGGGAAUAUUGGACAAUGGGCGCAAGCCUGAUCCAGCCAUACCGCGUGGGUGAAGAAGGCCUUCGGGUUGUAAAGCCCUUUUGUUGGGAAAGAAAAGCAGCAGGUUAAUACCCCGCUGUUCUGACGGUACCCAAAGAAUAAGCACCGGCUAACUUCGUG